GCGGAGGAAAAGAAACCAACAGGGAUUGCCUUAGUAGCGGCGAGUGAAGCGGCAAAAGCUCAAAUUUGAAAUCUGGCUCUUUCAGAGUCCGAGUUGUAAUUUGAAGAAGGUAUCUUUGGGUCUGGCUCUUGUCUAUGUUUCUUGGAACAGAACGUCACAGAGGGUGAGAAUCCCGUGCGAUGAGAUGAUCCAGGCCUAUGUAAAGUUCCUUCGAAGAGUCGAGUUGUUUGGGAAUGCAGCUCUAAGUGGGUGGUAAAUUCCAUCUAAAGCUAAAUAUUGGCGAGAGACCGAUAGCGAACAAGUACAGUGAUGGAAAGAUGAAAAGAACUUUGAAAAGAGAGUGAAAAAGUACGUGAAAUUGUUGAAAGGGAAGGGCUUGAGAUCAGACUUGGUAUUUUGUAUGUUACUUCUUCGGGGGUGGCCUCUACAGUUUAUCGGGCCAGCAUCAGUUUGGGCGGUAGGAGAAUUGCGUUGGAAUGUGGCACGGCUUCGGUUGUGUGUUAUAGCCUUCGUCGAUACUGCCAGCCUAGACUGAGGAC
RNAcentral lists this ribosomal RNA (539 nucleotides) under Candida tropicalis. RNAcentral's name for it is "partial large subunit ribosomal RNA". It matches the Rfam family "Eukaryotic large subunit ribosomal RNA", at positions 50 to 594 of the family's 3401-position model. The record is from RNAcentral. Lineage: Eukaryota; Fungi; Ascomycota; Pichiomycetes; Serinales; Debaryomycetaceae.